UACGGAGGGUGCAAACGUUGCUCGGAAUCAUUGGGCGUAAAGCGCACGUAGGCGGCCGAUUAAGUCGGAUGUGAAAGCCCCGGGCUCAACCCGGGAAGUGCAUACGAAACUGGUCGGCUUGAAUAUGGAAGAGGGUCGCGGAAUUCCCGGUGUAGAGGUGAAAUUCGUAGAUAUCGGGAGGAACACCAGUGGCGAAGGCGGCGACCUGGGCCAAUAUUGACGCUGAGGUGCGAAAGCGUGGGGAGCAAACAGG
Molecule: ribosomal RNA, 253 nt
Filed under: uncultured bacterium
Lineage: Bacteria
Description: partial 16S ribosomal RNA
Rfam family: Bacterial small subunit ribosomal RNA
Source: RNAcentral